RNAcentral lists this ribosomal RNA (1818 nucleotides) under Pseudomonadales bacterium. RNAcentral describes it as "partial 23S ribosomal RNA". It matches the Rfam family "Bacterial large subunit ribosomal RNA", at positions 1 to 1985 of the family's 2925-position model. Lineage: Bacteria; Pseudomonadati; Pseudomonadota; Gammaproteobacteria; Pseudomonadales. The record is from RNAcentral.
UCUCAAGCAUAAUAAGGGCAUCUGGUGGAUGCCUUGGCGUCAAGAGGCGAUGAAAGACGUGGCACUCUGCGAUAAGCUACGGUGAGCCGAGAGCAGGCUUUGACCCGUAGAUUUCUGAAUGGGGAAACCCCACCCAAUAGGGUGAUCCUGUCGUGAAUACAUAGCGGCAGGAGGCGAACCCGGUGAACUGAAACAUCUCAGUAACCGGAGGAAAGGACAUCAACCGAGACUUCGCUAGUAGCGGCGAGCGAACGCGAACCAGGCCAGUGGCUUAUGCAUAAGAACCGGAACGAUCUGGAAAGGUCGGCCAUAGUGGGUGAUAGCCCCGUACGGGUAGAAAUUGCAUAAGUCCUCGAGUAGGGCGGGACACGUGAAAUCCUGUCUGAACAUGGGGGGACCACCCUCCAAGCCUAAGUACUCCUUGACGACCGAUAGUGUACCAGUACCGUGAGGGAAAGGUGAAAAGCACCCCGAUAAGGGGAGUGAAAUAGUUCCUGAAACCGGAUGCCUACAAGCAGUUGGAGCCUCUUUAUGGGGUGACAGCGUACCUCUUGCAUAAUGGGUCAGCGAGUUAGUCUUACAAGCAAGCUUAAGCCGAUAGGUGUAGGCGCAGCGAAAGCGAGUCUUAAUAGGGCGAUUGAGUUUGUGGGAUUAGACCCGAAACCAGGUGAUCUAGCCAUGAGCAGGUUGAAGGUGAUGUAACAGUCACUGGAGGACCGAACCCACGUCUGUUGAAAAAGACGGGGAUGACUUGUGGUUAGGGGUGAAAGGCCAAUCAAACCUGGAGAUAGCUGGUUCUCCGCGAAAUCUAUUUAGGUAGAGCGUCAGACGAAUACCAUCGGGGGUAGAGCACUGAAUGGGCUAGGGGGCCUUACCGGCUUACCAAACCUAAUCAAACUCCGAAUACCGAUGAGUACUAUCUGGCAGACAGACUACGGGUGCUAAGGUCCGUGGUCGAGAGGGAAACAGCCCAGACCGCCAGUUAAGGUCCCAAAGUUGUGGCUAAGUGGGAAAGGAUGUAGGACGGCCAAGACAACCAGGACGUUGGCUUAGAAGCAGCCAUCGUUUAAAGAAAGCGUAACAGCUCACUGGUCUAAAUAAGCUGUCCCGCGCCGAAGAUGUACCGGGGCUCAAGCCACACACCGAAACUGCGGACUUGUUCUUUGAACAAGUGGUAGCGGAGCGUUCCGUAAGCCUGUGAAGGUGUGCCGUAAGGCAUGCUGGAGGUAUCGGAAGCGAGAAUGCUGACAUGAGUAGCGAUAAAGGGAGUGAGAACCUCCCUCGCCGAAAGCCCAAGGGUUCCUGCGCAAGGCCAAUCCGCGCAGGGUGAGUCGGCCCCUAAGACGAGGCAGAAAUGCGUAGUCGAUGGGAAACAGGUUAAUAUUCCUGUACCCGUGAGAAGUGACGGCCUCUGGAAGUAGUUUUUCCUUAUUGGAUUGGAGAAGCUGCCAAGGAGGUCCAGGAAAUAACUCUCACAUAUGGACCGUACCCCAAACCGACACAGGUGGGCAGGUUGAAUAUACCAAGGCGCUUGAGAGAAUGGUGUUGAAGGAACUCGGCAAAUUGCCCCCGUAACUUCGGGAGAAGGGGGCCCACCGUGAAGGCAACUUUACGGUGGGGGCACAGACUAGGGGGUGGCGACUGUUUACUAAAAACACAGGGCUCUGCGAAGUCGCAAGACGACGUAUAGGGUCUGACGCCUGCCCGGUGCCGGAAGGUUAAGAGGAGAUGUGCAAGCAUUGAAUUGAAGCCCCGGUAAACGGCGGCCGUAACUAUAACGGUCCUAAGGUAGCGAAAUUCCUUGUCGGGUAAGUUCCG